This 253-nucleotide ribosomal RNA is filed under the name uncultured bacterium. RNAcentral describes it as "partial 16S ribosomal RNA". It matches the Rfam family "Bacterial small subunit ribosomal RNA", at positions 524 to 776 of the family's 1533-position model. The record is from RNAcentral.
UACGGAAGGGGCAAGCGUUGUUCGGAAUCAUUGGGCGUAAAGGGCGCGUAGGUGGUUCUGUAUGUCUACCGUGAAAGCGUACGGCUCAACCGUAUUUUGUCGUUAGAAACUGCAGGACUUGAGGCUGGGAGGGGCUGGUGGAAUUCCCUGUGUAGCGGUGAAAUGCGUAGAGAUGGGGGAGAACACUCGUGGCGAAGGCGGCCAGCUAGACCAGUUCUGACACUGAGGCGCGACAGCGUGGGGAGCAAACAGG